GCAUCAUGCAUUAUUUCAGGCAGUAUACUGGUAAAGGGUUUUUGCACCAUUCUUACCAGUUGCCACCUGAAAUUAAUGUAAGAUGUG
Molecule: microRNA precursor, 87 nt
Filed under: Lytechinus variegatus (green sea urchin)
Lineage: Eukaryota; Metazoa; Echinodermata; Echinoidea; Temnopleuroida; Toxopneustidae
Description: microRNA lva-mir-2007 precursor
Rfam family: mir-2007 microRNA precursor family
Source: miRBase by way of RNAcentral